UUCAGAAGCAAUAACAAAGCCGAACGAGGCGGACGUGUGACGCUCGGUGCGCUUAAUUGUGAAUUGAAUUCGUUGUCGCUUGGUUUAUAUGUGCGCUGGGUUUGUGACUUUGUUAUCUGUCGUUUACUAGCUGACUCUACCGAUUACCACGCGUGUAUUUUUUUGUUUGUUUAUGUGUGUGUGCGUGCAUGUUUGUCUAUGGCACAAAUUCAAAUAAUUUUACAAAUCUAAUGUGCCUUGCAACACAACAAUUUGUUUUUUCUAUCGUUAAUGCCGCGCUUCGACUUCAAAAAUAAUUUGGAAUAUUUCGCCUGCGAAUUGAAUUAGUUAAAUGCAACAGCAUUUCAACUAAUUACUUCGUUUAUUUUUUUGUUUUUGAAUUUCGCGCCGUCGUCUCAACGCAUCCGCAACUACAGUACAGCCUCUCUCCGCCCCUAACACCCACCCACCCCAAAGAGAAACAUAUUAAAACUUAAACAGCAAAAAAAAAA
This is a long non-coding RNA of Drosophila navojoa, 491 nucleotides long. Lineage: Eukaryota; Metazoa; Arthropoda; Insecta; Diptera; Drosophilidae. The record is from RefSeq and is a predicted model, not a curated record.